AGAGUUUGAUCCUGGCUCAGAACGAACGCUGGCGGCAUGCUUAACACAUGCAAGUUAAACGGGCUAAUUUAGGGCUUGCUCUAAUUUAGCAAGUAGCAAACGGGUGAGUAACACGUGGGAAUCUCCCCAUCAGUACGGAAUAACAUUUGGAAACAAAUGCUAAUACCGUAUAUUCUCUGCGGAGAAAAGAUUUAUCGCUGAUGGAUGAGCCCGCGUCAGAUUAGGUAGUUGGUAGGGUAAUGGCCUACCAAGCCAACGAUCUGUAGCUGGUCUGAGAGGAUGAUCAGCCACACUGGGACUGAGACACGGCCCAGACUCCUACGGGAGGCAGCAGUGGGGAAUAUUGGACAAUGGGCGCAAGCCUGAUCCAGCAAUGCCGCGUGAAUGAUGAAGGCCUUAGGGUUGUAAAGUUCUUUUAGUAGGGAAGAUAAUGACGGUACCUACAGAAAAAGCCCCGGCUAACUCCGUGCCAGCAGCCGCGGUAAG
Molecule: ribosomal RNA, 486 nt
Filed under: uncultured bacterium
Lineage: Bacteria
Description: bacterial SSU rRNA
Rfam family: Bacterial small subunit ribosomal RNA
Source: RNAcentral